CGUUAAUAAAAUUAUGUUAUUUUACGAUGAUAAGCUUCGUUUUCAAAAUUACAUUUACGUCGUUUUCAUCCAUAAAAAUGAGAAGAAAAACACCACAUGUAACAUUACUUUUUGGGAUAGUAACAAAAAAAAAUCUUCAUGGGCUGCCGUUCCAAAUGAGAGUGAGGACACUGCAGUGAUGUCUACAUAUAUGUAUAUACAUCGGCCACGUGGAGCCCAAUGAUUGGUUGGGUUAGAUAAAUAAAGUAAAAGUAGGUCAACAUUAUUGGCUACAUUUAUAUUGACUAAUUUAAAUAAUUCUGAUCAAUAAAUAAAUAAAAUUUUAAAAAAAUGGUUAAUGGCUAAUGGGGUUGAAACCAAGGGUUAGAGUUAGGAACCCAUUUUCUAAAGUUAAGAUUUCUGACGCUGAUUUUGUUUUUUCCUUAACUCCAACUCUCCAACUCAGUCCCUUACCUACUCCCUUUAUUUAUUUAUUAAUUGCAAUAAUAUCUUCUUCUUUUUUUAUUUUAGUUCUCAAUUAUCAUUCCUUCCAUCAAUUUUUCAUUUUUAUGUUGAAAUUUUGAUGUUGAAAGAUUUGGGUUUAAAUACUCAUGUGUUUCUCAAGGCUUAUUUAUUCUAAUACUCUAUCUAAUUAUAAAUUUUAUACUUUCAACUUGAUUUUAUAUAUAUAUAUAUAUAUAAAUAAGUUAGUAAAAUAAUUAAGGGCAUGUUUUAAUUGAUUAGAGAAUUUUUUUUCCAAAUAAGUUAAUUUUUUUAUUUAAACUAUUUUUUAUAUAUGAAAAGUUGACUAAAAAAACUCUAGAAGUGUUUCAAAUUUAUUUGGGUGAUUUUUGAAAUAAUUGAAAUUCUUUCACCAUUAUUCUAAAAACAUGAAUUUAUAAAAGCACAUUUGAAAAUAUACAAUCAAAUAUUACAUGUUAUUUUAGAUGACAAAAUACAUGAUUUUAGUCAAUUUUGGGUAAUUUUAACAAUUUUAAAAGCAAAAAAAAAGACCUUUUUAAAUAUAUGAAAAUGAACCAAAAUUUUACUUAAAAGUAUUUGUUAUAUUUUGUAAAUAUUGUGUAACAAUUUUAUCAUUUACAAUAAUUUUAUUUUAUUUGCAUGAUUUAAAGUAUGGUCCAAAUAAUAUUUUUAAACGACUAGGAAAAAUGAUUGUUAAGAAAAGUUAGAGAAAAUAGAAAAAAAAAAGUGAUGAGUAGAUUUUUUUUUUUUUUUUUUAAAAGGGAUAAUUUAGAGUGGGGAAGGGAGGGGUUGGGGUUUGGGUCAAAUCUGUUUAACGGUUAAUAGGGCUGAGAUUGCGUGUACUUUCCGAAUUAGCGGACUAAUUAAACUAAACUUCUUCCAUUUUCUUUUUGUCAUCCAAUCCUUUUUUCUUCCCCCAAAAGAGAAAUAAAAAGUAGUGAUUGAGGUCACCUUCAUUUUCUAAAUUCGUCGGGUUGUGACGUCGUUUUCCUCCGCCCGGCUGAUUUUAGUUGACUCAGAAUCAUCCUUCUCCUCCAUAAAUGCCUUGAUUUCCGAUUCCGAUUCCGAUCACGACCGGAGAAUGUGAUCCGCUCGAUUCCGAUCCGACGUAGCCAUAGAUGUAGGAGUCUGUAUGGUCAAACAAAAAAGAAUUCCAAUCAAAACAAAAUUAUAUAUUUCAUAUUUUUAGAUAUAUGUUUGAUAGCAUAGAACUAAUAAAAUUGACAAACUAUUUGUCCUCAAAACAAAACCAUUUAAACACAAAAUUUGUAAAUAUUUUGUCUUCUCAUAAACAAUUAUUAAUAAAAAAAUAAAACAUUUUGACAAAAAUAUUUACAAGGUUAAGUGAUUUAGAUAGUUUAUCAAUUUUUUCUAUUUAAAAAAAAGUACCAUUUAUUUAUGUACAUGUUUUAGAUUAAAAAUUAAAAUUUUUAUUUUAAAUUAUAAAACUCUUGAAAAUAUUUACAUAUAGAGUAAAACAUUAUACGAUAGACUAUCAUGUUCUAGUAUGUUGGUAAGUAUUUUAGUUUAAUUUGCUAUAUUUGAUAAUCACCUUUUUUUUUUUUGUAUAAUUAUUAUUUAUUAGUAUUAGAUAAUCUGACAUACAUGGUUUUAUCUUUAUUUAAUAUAAUUUUGUACUUUAAACUUUUAAAUAUAAUAAAAACAAAAAAUGUAUUGUAUUCACAAUUGAAUCUGAAGACAAUUUUUAGAAACAAAAUUUCGGUAUCAAUAACUUAUAUUCGUUAACUCAGUAAAUCUAAAAACACAAAAGGCGAAGAUCAACUGCUUUGCUGCUCUUCUAAUUUCUCUAUUGUCUGUGACUAGUCCUUGUAAUAAGGCAUUUAAAAUUCCAAAUCACUGUAGACAAAUACAUAGAGAUUCCUUUAUUCUACCACUUGCCACUAUAAAUCUAAAUCAUCUUAUUAUUCAUCUUCUCUUUCAUUUGUGGAUUCCCAUGGCCAUGAUAGAUUCAACACGAAUAAGAUAUUUAUGGGUAAAGGACUGAAUUUUGUCUAUGUGUCUCUGUAUGUUUUUAGCCAACUUGAACAUACCCGAAUGAUUAAUGGCACAUGACUUUGGUCUAGAAGUUAAAAGCUUGAAUCUACUAAAAUUUUCCUUCCUCCCUAUGGUUUGAGUUUAGUUACAAUAGGAUCUACAUGGUUGGGUCAAAUCUAAUGCUUAUGGUAUUGAAUACUUGACAUGUCUAACUUGAACCUAAUUUAACUAAAACAUAUAUGAUUCGGUCAAUCUCUAAAGGUAAGAGGUUCGAAUAUACCUAUCCCACUUGUUGUUGAACUUAAAAGAAAGAAAAGGUUUAACAUGUUUUAUUGACAUGCAAUGAGAUGAUGUUGGCCAACUUUAUUAGAUGAAGAAUAAAUGAGCAGGGUGUUUGUAUAGGUAAAGGAUAGUUUAAGAAUAAUUUAUAAGGCUUAACUACUUAUAAAGAUUAAAAUGAAAUAAACUAAAUCAAAACUACAAAAGCUAAAUUGAUACUUUUACAGAACGAUACAAACAACCAUAUGAGCCAAUAUUUGUAAUUUAAAUAUACUUUUAAAUUAGUUCAUAUAAUCUUAGGAAGUUUUCUAAAUUUUCAUGGGUUCUUCUAAUAGUUUCAUAAUAUAGUGUUGACUGUUGAGACUCCAACACCUCUGUUGUAAUUGCUAUCAUUGCCACAGGAGAGAUCUCCAACCAAGUAGAAGCAUAAAUGAGUUUAAAAGAAGCCCCAAACUGCGUACUUCGACAUUGAUUUCUGGAUGGGUAAUUAUUAUUACCAUUGACUUCCACAACAAAACAGUGAAAUACAAUAACUUUAACUUGAAGUGUUUUACCCUUCUCUUUUCCAGUGAAGUUAAUUCUAAAGUAUUUUGACUCGCAUGCUGAGGCCAUAAUGUCAUUGAAUUUCAAAUCUUUUUCCAGGAAAAUAGUAGCAGAACAAUUAUAAACUAUUUUAUCAAUUACUAGCUGAAUUCUUAAGUUGACCAAGUCAAAUAUUGGAAGUCAGAUGGGCAGGACGAAAUUACUCCAACCUUAACUGAGUGCUUUAUGAAUUAAUGGAUUAUUAUAAACAUUCUUUCACAUUAUUGACUUUUAGCAGCUUUCUCAUGGGUGGUUGGUUGUUGCUUCAGUUUCUUUUAAGUCUUUAACCUGAUGUAUAUAAAAUUCUUAAGUUUGAAGACUGGUUUAAUUUUCUUUACUUUUACGUGCACAUACAAAAGGUAGUUGAUCAGAACUUGUGUCCUACGGUGGGUGAGAGAUUUUGCAAGUGAGGUUUGGUUUGAAAUGGCAGCCUUUUCAUUUCCCUGAUUGUUAAGUUUGGUGAAGAAAAAGUGAAAGGAGUGACAUUCAAGAAACCAGACAACCAUUUUCUAAACUAAAAAUAGUAAAAAGAAUAAAUAAAAUUGCAAGACAAUAUAUAAGCUUAAGUAGUAAUCGAACCUGUUAUUUCAUCGUCAAUGGACGAGAUGGAAGCCACUGGAAAGCUUGUUGCAGCUAGACAGCUCUUGAAAACUGGCCUCGAAAGAUCGAGAGACAUUGAAUCUAAAUUGGCCAAUGCUGGACCAAGAUUGAGAGACAAGGCUCAAAG
Molecule: long non-coding RNA, 4045 nt
Filed under: Cucumis sativus (cucumber)
Lineage: Eukaryota; Viridiplantae; Streptophyta; Magnoliopsida; Cucurbitales; Cucurbitaceae
Description: long non-coding RNA (CSAT_LNC002920)
Source: RNAcentral